GCGCGAAAACUUUACAAUGCGGGAAACCGUGAUAAGGGAACCCCGAGUGCCUGUAUAUGCAGGCUGUCCAGGUGUCUAAAAAACACCUGAAGAAAGGGCCGGGCAAGACCGGUGCCAGCCGCCGCGGCAAUACCGGCGGCUCGAGUGGUGGCCACUUUUAUUGGGCUUAAAGCGUUCGUAGCUGGGUUGUUAAGUCUCUUGGGAAAUCUGACGGCUUAACCGUCAGGCGUCUAAGAGAUACUGGCAAUCUUGGAACCGGGAGAGGUGAGGGGUACUUCGGGGGUAGGAGUGAAAUCCUGUAAUCCUCGAGGGACCACCUGUGGCGAAGGCGCCUCACCAGGACGGCUUCGACAGUGAGGGACGAAAGCUGGGGGAGCAAACCGGAUUAGAUACCCGGGUAGUCCCAGCCGUAAACGAUGCGCGUUAGGUGUAUCGGUGACCACGAGUCACCGAGGUGCCGAAGGGAAACUGUGAAACGUGCCGCCUGGGAAGUACGGUCGCAAGGCUGAAACUUAAAGGAAUUGGCGGGGGGGCACCACAACGGGUGGAGCCUGCGGUUUAAUUGGACUCAACGCCGGGAAGCUCACCGGAUAAGACAGCGGAAUGAUUGCCGGGCUGAAGACUCUGCAUGACUAGCU
This 638-nucleotide ribosomal RNA is filed under the name uncultured Methanomassiliicoccaceae archaeon. Its description in RNAcentral is "bacterial SSU rRNA". It matches the Rfam family "Archaeal small subunit ribosomal RNA", at positions 339 to 981 of the family's 1478-position model. The record is from RNAcentral. Lineage: Archaea; Methanobacteriati; Thermoplasmatota; Thermoplasmata; Methanomassiliicoccales; Methanomassiliicoccaceae.